GGAGUUGGAAUGUAGAAUGUUUAUUAGAGAGUGCUCUUAGAAUCAGCACCCAUGGCAGGGUAGGGAAGGAAGCAGGACUGGGCAGAUGGAACAUUGAGCUUUGACCCAGGCCUGACAACAGUUUCAGCUGACUCCUCAGAGAGUUUUAGAGCUAAAACAGGCCAUCAGAUUUCCCCAGGUAAAGCCAAAACGGUUGGACUUUUAUACCUACCCUUUGAUCAGUCAUUGGGUGUGGGCCACCCUGGGAAUGGGCUGACCUUAGGCAAGGUGGCUCUGUGCAGCUGAGGAAAUCCCUGGAGGGGCUGACAGCUGAAGGCUGCCAGUGGACAGCUCUCCCAGCAGCUGGGCAACACACUCAUUUGAAGAGGAUCUGGGCCCCCACUCUCCACAUUCACCACAAAAAGCCUGGCACAUGACGUCAGAAAAACAAAAGGUAGUUCCCUUUCCUUCCCAUCAUCAGGCCCUCUCAGUCAUAACAGAGUACCCAAUCUCUUUGAGCCUUCUCACAAGUCACAAUCGCUGCCACCACGCCCUCCAUUCUCAGAGAAGUUUACCUACUUCUUGGCUUUUUAGCAUUGGAAGUACCCCCUCCCUGAUCAUUUACUACUUUCUCUAUCUCAACUAAACACAUACUUUCUCCCUCUGCACUCACAAACUUGUUAAAAGCACCUAUAUUUUUUUCUGCGAUAAGGUCUAUUAUUUUACAAGUGUAUGUAUUUUAUAUUUUUGUUCAUCUGAAUGGUCUUAAUUUCUCUAUUUGUAUUACCUGUAAGGAUCUUAAAGAGCAAUAGUGCAUUUAACACUUGAUAAUAUUUUAAAAUUUUGACCUAUGCAUCAAGAGGCCAGCACCAUCAUUUCAGCCCAUAUCAAACAUCCAGUCCAUAUUCCUUGAAGACCUAAGAGACAUCUAGAACUGGGGCAACGACUUCUAACCAGAGCUCCCACUACAAUCAGUUUUGGAAAUUGGAGAAUGAAUUGAGCUCUUCUGAAAUACAAAUUUUUCUAGGUGCUGCAUCCCAGAUUCAGAAAGAAAAUUCAUCUGGACACUGUGAGAUUUCUGGAAUUCCCAAUUUUGCAGCAGGAAUCACGGUGAUGUCUGCAGAGCAUCUUUGUUCCUAUCUGGUCCAUGUGAAGUAAUGGGAGAAGAAUGUCCUGGCAGUAGCAACAGCAGAGGCUGGACGCAAGCUUUGUUCUGUUACCCUCAUCUCUUCUCAGCUGCUUUCAGACUUCAAAAAUGAACUUUCUGGUUUCAACAUUCACACCAUCUUAUAGUCAUUAUGGCAGAAUGAUAUCUGGACUCUGCCUAGGCACUGUAUUGACACCUUGGCUAUGCAUUAGGUUACAAAGCCAAAACCAAAGCUAAGGGGCGUUCAACAUAAUUGCUCCAAAUGACAGAAAUACCCAGGCAUAAUUCUUUGAUGGGCCUUUCUAUUGCAAAGAUAUGUAGAGAGAAUCUGGUUAUCUACAGCAACUAUCAGAUAAUUCUGUCAUGUUCAUUUCAUACUUUGGGAGGUAGAAGAGUGAGGAUGAGAGAUAUAAAAUGAAUGCACUGGCCAUGCAUAUAAGUCAGCCAUAUCACCUAGAAUGAAAAAAUUGUCAAGUGGUCUCCAAAUAAGGAGUAAAACCAAGUCUCAUGUUUGAUUCAUGUGUCUAUGGAAAACGUAUUUAUUUCAUUUCUAGGGACUACGUAGGCCAUGAAAGCUGGUAAUGUGUCAAUAGUCAGGCUUCUAGCCUUCAGACUCACAUUUGGGGACAAAGAAAAAGAAUUCUUGGGAUCUCAAUAGCAAGGUCUAGUGGAAGAAUUGUAUGUGUUCCUCCUAAAACUCUCCCAGCUAGGCUAAUGGGAAUACAGAAUAGCAUAUAAUACGUAUUUCUGCACAAGUUUUCCAUGAACAGAAAAGGGGCCAUAAUGGAGAGUGUAUACAGGAAAUCAAGAGAUGAUCAGAAAAUUAUAAUAAAACACAGUCUAUCUUAGCAAAAACGGUAACCUGGUCAAAACCACAUCCUGGUAAAAUAUUUUGCCAGCAUCCUCUGGGUAUUGAGUACCUUUUUUGCUUUUGCUUUCUCAUUAGAAAUGCAAACAUUAUGUGUGGUUUAUUUUUUCCCUCAAGAAUUUCCUCAGUGGCCUUUUCCCACUAGUUUUGAUGUCCUCAUGAAAUUAAGAGAAAACAACUGUGGGAAAGGAAUAAGUGUGUAUAGCAACCAGCA
Molecule: long non-coding RNA, 2208 nt
Filed under: Equus caballus (horse)
Lineage: Eukaryota; Metazoa; Chordata; Mammalia; Perissodactyla; Equidae
Description: lncRNA (ENSECAG00000059179.1)
Source: RNAcentral